RNAcentral lists this transfer RNA (72 nucleotides) under Camelus bactrianus (Bactrian camel). It matches the Rfam family "tRNA". From Rfam's summary of the family: Transfer RNA (tRNA) molecules are approximately 80 nucleotides in length. Their secondary structure includes four short double-helical elements and three loops (D, anti-codon, and T loops). Further hydrogen bonds mediate the characteristic L-shaped molecular structure. tRNAs have two regions of fundamental functional importance: the anti-codon, which is responsible for specific mRNA codon recognition, and the 3' end, to which the tRNAs corresponding amino acid is attached (by aminoacyl-tRNA synthetases). tRNAs cope with the degeneracy of the genetic code in two manners: having more than one tRNA (with a specific anti-codon) for a particular amino acid; and 'wobble' base-pairing, i.e. permitting non-standard base-pairing at the 3rd anti-codon position. Lineage: Eukaryota; Metazoa; Chordata; Mammalia; Artiodactyla; Camelidae. RNAcentral also lists the same sequence under 1 other name. The record is from Rfam by way of RNAcentral.
GAGGGUAUAGCUCAGUGGUAGAGCACAUGCUUAGCAUGCACAAGGUCCUGGAUUCAAUCCAAAGUACCUCCA